RNAcentral lists this ribosomal RNA (253 nucleotides) under uncultured bacterium. RNAcentral's name for it is "partial 16S ribosomal RNA". It matches the Rfam family "Bacterial small subunit ribosomal RNA", at positions 524 to 776 of the family's 1533-position model. The record is from RNAcentral.
UACGGAGGGGGCUAGCGUUGUUCGGAAUUACUGGGCGUAAAGCGCACGUAGGCGGCUUUGCAAGUUAGAGGUGAAAGCCCGGAGCUCAACUCCGGAACUGCCUUUAAGACUGCAUCGCUAGAAUCAUGGAGAGGUGAGUGGAAUUCCGAGUGUAGAGGUGAAAUUCGUAGAUAUUCGGAAGAACACCAGUGGCGAAGGCGACUCACUGGACAUGUAUUGACGCUGAGGUGCGAAAGCGUGGGGAGCAAACAGG